Molecule: transfer RNA, 76 nt
Filed under: Eubacteriales Family XIII. Incertae Sedis bacterium
Lineage: Bacteria; Bacillati; Bacillota; Clostridia; Peptostreptococcales; Anaerovoracaceae
Description: tRNA-Thr
Rfam family: tRNA
About the family: Transfer RNA (tRNA) molecules are approximately 80 nucleotides in length. Their secondary structure includes four short double-helical elements and three loops (D, anti-codon, and T loops).
Source: RNAcentral
GCUACCCUGGCUCAGUUGGUAGAGCAGCUGAUUCGUAAUCAGCAGGUCGGGGGUUCGAGUCCCCCGGGUAGCUCCA